CACUGAUCUGCCCAGGGUCAGACGAAUGCUUGUCAGUUGUAGCUUUCCAGGAUUCUGCUCCAAUGAGGAGGAAACAUCCUGCCUUACCCCUGUUUUAGCCUGGGAACCAGUAAUUGUGAACUCACCAGGGUUAACAUGAAGAGGGCAUGAGAGCUUAUUCCAUAAGGAAUUGUCUGAGACAUUUGGUUACCUUUUCUUAGUUUGUCCAUUAGCAACCGUAACUAAAAUAGUUUUGGCUGUUUGGGAUAAUUAGCUAAUUGAAUGAUUUUUUGAUUCAGGAGCAGCUUGUUGCUAUAUACCAUUGAAAAGCCUUCAGAGCUGAGAGGUUAGUUGAUAUUUUUUGUUCCUUACAGCUUAUGCCACCAAGUAGGCAGUUUCUAUGAUGAAUCAAACUAGCUCACUAUGACCGACAGUGAAAAUACAUGAACACCUGAGAAACUGGAGAACGCAGGGAGUGGGGGGUAACCAUGUCUGAGGAAUCUUUCACCCACAGCUUUGUUUUUCUCUAGGUACUACUAACCAAUAACCUGCUUGGCUCAAAGGGCCAGCACCUUCUCUCUAAAGCCCAAGAGGAGUUUGAGGAAAACUAGGUGUCUGUGUUCACUCCAGGCUGAAGUUACAGGUG
Molecule: long non-coding RNA, 625 nt
Filed under: Homo sapiens (human)
Lineage: Eukaryota; Metazoa; Chordata; Mammalia; Primates; Hominidae
Source: RNAcentral